GAUGACGGGCUAGCGAGAUGAGUCUCACAUCGCCUGGUACUUGUGAGUCUGAGCCUCACGAGGACGUCAGGGCUUAAAGGAGGGGAGAUUGUGAGACCCCAGAUAGUCCUAUAUAUGAGAUAUAAUAGGGCUAAACUCUUAACCCGGCUUAAGUAUUUUAGGUGGUGGCGAGGCCCAAGAGGUUAAGAGAGUUAAGCGUGCUAGGACGGGAGUAGU
This 216-nucleotide long non-coding RNA is filed under the name Ananas comosus (pineapple). RNAcentral's name for it is "long non-coding RNA (ACOM_LNC016917)". The record is from RNAcentral. Lineage: Eukaryota; Viridiplantae; Streptophyta; Magnoliopsida; Poales; Bromeliaceae.